GUAAGGAAUAUUGGACAAUGGUCGCAAGACUGAUCCAGCCAUGCCGCGUGCAGGAUGAAGGUGCUCUGCAUUGUAAACUGCUUUUAUUCGGGAAUAAACCCCUUCACGUGUGGAGGGCUGAAUGUACCGAAAGAAUAAGGGACGGCUAACUUCGUGCCAGCAGCCGCGGUAAUACGAAGGUCCCAAGCGUUAUCCGGAUUUAUUGGGUUUAAAGGGUGCGUAGGCGGGUUGUUAAGUCAGUGGUGAAAGCCUACAGCUUAACUGUAGAAUUGCCAUUGAUACUGACGAUCUUGAGUGUGGUUGAGGUGGGCGGAAUGUAUCAUGUAGCGGUGAAAUGCUUAGAUAUGAUACAGAACACCGAUUGCGAAGGCAGCUCACUAAGCCACUACUGACGCUGAGGCACGAAAGCGUGGGGAGCAAACAGGAUUAGAUACCCGAGUAGUCC
RNAcentral lists this ribosomal RNA (445 nucleotides) under uncultured bacterium. RNAcentral's name for it is "bacterial SSU rRNA". It matches the Rfam family "Bacterial small subunit ribosomal RNA", at positions 354 to 796 of the family's 1533-position model. The record is from RNAcentral.